Molecule: long non-coding RNA, 382 nt
Filed under: Gallus gallus (chicken)
Lineage: Eukaryota; Metazoa; Chordata; Aves; Galliformes; Phasianidae
Description: long non-coding RNA NONGGAT011651
Source: RNAcentral
UUUGCGUGCUGAUGUCAUCACAAAGCUGUGUGCAUCCUUGCUUUGGUGAGCUUCCAGCGCGGCCAGAUGAGUUCGCACGUUCAGCCCCUGCGGAUCCUGGAUUUGGUUUUAUUUCCUCCAUCCCGAUGGACCAUAAGCUUUGACGGAUGCCUCGGGGAGAAGGAGGGCAGGGCAGGGACCGAUGUGCCAAAUGACGGAUGGUGCGGUCUGCUGCAAGCCAGUUCCUGGCAAACGGUGAAAGCGGUGCAUUGGCUGCUGCUGUGAGCCCCCCCUGGAGCAGCCUGGUGGCAUGGGGAUGAGCACUGAUGUGCUGCUUGGAGCAUCGAAUCGACGUGUGCUUGUGAGGCUUCAGUCUGUUUCAUGAUCUUACAAAUAAGACCUG